CAGCAGCCGCGGUAAAACGGAGGGUGCGAGCGUUAAUCGGAAUUACUGGGCGUAAAGCGUGCGCAGGCGGUUCGUUAAGACAGAUGUGAAAUCCCCGGGCUUAACCUGGGAACUGCAUUUGUGACUGACGGGCUAGAGUAUGGCAGAGGGGGGUAGAAUUCCACGUGUAGCAGUGAAAUGCGUAGAGAUGUGGAGGAAUACCGAUGGCGAAGGCAGCCCCCUGGGCCAAUACUGACGCUCAUGCACGAAAGCGUGGGGAGCAAACAGGAUUAGAUACCCGAGUAGUCCCUGUCUCUUAUAC
RNAcentral lists this ribosomal RNA (301 nucleotides) under uncultured bacterium. RNAcentral describes it as "partial 16S ribosomal RNA". It matches the Rfam family "Bacterial small subunit ribosomal RNA", at positions 509 to 807 of the family's 1533-position model. The record is from RNAcentral.